This 753-nucleotide ribosomal RNA is filed under the name uncultured bacterium. Its description in RNAcentral is "bacterial SSU rRNA". It matches the Rfam family "Bacterial small subunit ribosomal RNA", at positions 690 to 1446 of the family's 1533-position model. The record is from RNAcentral.
GCAGAGAUGUGGAGGGACACCGAUGGCGAAGGCAGCCCCCUGGGAUGACACUGACGCUCAUGUACGAAAGCGUGGGUAGCAAACAGGAUUAGAUACCCUGGUAGUCCACGCCCUAAACGAUGUCAACUGGUUGUUGGGGGAGUGAAAUCCCUUAGUAACGAAGCUAACGCGUGAAGUUGACCGCCUGGGGAGUACGGUCGCAAGAUUAAAACUCAAAGGAAUUGACGGGGACCCGCACAAGCGGUGGAUGAUGUGGAUUAAUUCGAUGCAACGCGAAAAACCUUACCUACCCUUGACAUGUCCGGAAUCCUGCUGAGAGGUGGGAGUGCCCGAAAGGGAAUCGGAACACAGGUGCUGCAUGGCUGUCGUCAGCUCGUGUCGUGAGAUGUUGGGUUAAGUCCCGCAACGAGCGCAACCCUUAUCAUUAGUUGCUACGCAAGGGCACUCUAAUGAGACUGCCGGUGACAAACCGGAGGAAGGUGGGGAUGACGUCAAGUCCUCAUGGCCCUUAUGGGUAGGGCUUCACACGUCAUACAAUGGUCGGUACAGAGGGUUGCCAAGCCGCGAGGUGGAGCCAAUCCCAGAAAGCCGAUCGUAGUCCGGAUUGUUCUCUGCAACUCGAGAGCAUGAAGUCGGAAUCGCUAGUAAUCGCGGAUCAGCAUGUCGCGGUGAAUACGUUCCCGGGUCUUGUACACACCGCCCGUCACACCAUGGGAGUGGAAUCUGGCAGAAGUAGGUAGCCUAACCGCGAGG